This 1396-nucleotide ribosomal RNA is filed under the name Protoperidinium lewisiae. RNAcentral describes it as "LSU rRNA". It matches the Rfam family "Eukaryotic large subunit ribosomal RNA", at positions 43 to 1443 of the family's 3401-position model. The record is from RNAcentral. Lineage: Eukaryota; Dinophyceae; Peridiniales; Protoperidiniaceae.
UAAGUAAGCGGAGGAUAAGAAACUAAAUAGGAUCCCCUUAGUAAUGGCGAAUGAACAGGGGCCAGCUCAGCAUUAGAAUUGGAGCCUCGCGGCUCUGAAUUGUAGUCUGUAGAUGCACAUCCAACCUAGGUGCAGGCGUAAGCCUCUUGGAAAAGAGCGCCAACGAGGGUGAGAGCCCCUUUCGUCGCCUGCAGCCCUGAGUGCACGGAGUGCAUUCUAAGAGUCACGUUCCUUGGGAUUGGAGCGCAAAGCGGGUGGUACAUUUCAUCCAAAGCUGAAUAUAGGUUUGAGACCGAUAGCAGACAAGUACCAUGAGGGAAAGGUGAAAAGGACUUUGGAAAGAGAGUUAAAGAGAGCCUGCCAUUGCUGAAACGGAAGCGAAUGACACCAGUACGACUCUGCGAGAUUGCUGCGUACCAAUGGAAGGACCCGCUGCUUCAACGCAAGUGCGGCGACGGGCACCAGACCAGGACGCGCGCAGUGUUUCUUGCGUGGUUGGUUGUUGCAGCUGCGCCGUGCGGGGAAAAAUGCAAGUCCCUGGUAGCGCUCUUACGGGGGCGUGAAUGAGCUUGCACAUACUCGCGCGUGUAGCUGUUGAUGACUAAAUGGUGUCCUUCGACCCGUCUUGAAACACGGACCAAGGAGUCUAACACAUGUGCAAGUUCUUGGGUAGUACACCCACGAGCGCAAUGAAAGUGACUGCUGGGAUAUUUGCGCCAGCAACCGACCGAUCAUUUAGGUGAGGUUUGAGUAUGAGCAUAUCUGUUAGGACCCGAAAGAUGGUGAACUAUGCCUGUGAAGGGUAAACUCAGGGGAAACUCUGAUGGAGGCUCGUAGCGGUACUGACGUGCAAAUCGUUCGUCAAACAUGGGUAUGGGGGCGAAAGACUAAUCGAACCAUCUAGUAGCUGGUUCCCUCCGAAGUUUCCCUCAGGAUAGCUGGAGUUGUGCAGUUUUAUCAGGUAAAGCGAAUGAUUAGAGGAAUCUGGGACGCGUUGUCCUUGACCUAUUCUCAAACUUUAAAUGGGUAAGAUCCAGUAGUUACUUAGCUGAACUUCUGGGAUACAUGGUAACUCUAAGUGGGCCAUUUUUGGUAAGCAGAACUGGCGAUGAGGGAUGAACCUAACGCUGGGAUAAGGUGCUUAAUUUCUCGCUCAUCAGAUACCAUAAAGGGUGUUGGUUCAUUCUAACAGCAGGACGGUGGUCAUGGAAGUUGAAAUCCGCUAAGGAGUGUGUAACAACUCACCUGCCGAAUGGACUAGCCCCGAAAAUGGAUAGCGCUCAAGCGGGAGACCGAUACCCAACCAUUGAUGCAAACAUGCUGCGACAAUGAGUAGGAGGGCAUGGGGGCUUGUGAUGAAGCCUGUGGCGCAAGCCUGGGUGAAACAGCUUCUGGU